Molecule: ribosomal RNA, 497 nt
Filed under: uncultured bacterium
Lineage: Bacteria
Description: partial 16S ribosomal RNA
Rfam family: Bacterial small subunit ribosomal RNA
Source: RNAcentral
GAUGAACGCUGGCGGCGUGCCUAAUACAUGCAAGUCGAGCGAACAGACGAGGAGCGUGCUCCUCUGACGUUAGCGGCGGACGGGUGAGUAACACGUGGAUAACCUACCUAUAAGACUGGGAUAACUUCGGGAAACCGGAGCUAAUACCGGAUAAUAUAUUGAACCGCAUGGUUCAAUAGUGAAAGACGGUUUUGCUGUCACUUAUAGAUGGAUCCGCGCCGCAUUAGCUAGUUGGUAAGGUAACGGCUUACCAAGGCGACGAUGCGUAGCCGACCUGAGAGGGUGAUCGGCCACACUGGAACUGAGACACGGUCCAGACUCCUACGGGAGGCAGCAGUAGGGAAUCUUCCGCAAUGGGCGAAAGCCUGACGGAGCAACGCCGCGUGAGUGAUGAAGGUCUUCGGAUCGUAAAACUCUGUUAUUAGGGAAGAACAAAUGUGUAAGUAACUAUGCACGUCUUGACGGUACCUAAUCAGAAAGCCACGGCUAACUACGUG